CCUACGGGAGGCAGCAGUGAGGAAUAUUGGUCAAUGGGCGAGAGCCUGAACCAGCCAAGUAGCGUGAAGGAUGACUGCCCUAGGGGUUGUAAACUUCUUUUAUAGAGGAAUAAAGGGCGGUAUGUAUACUGUUUUGCAUGUACUUUAUGAAUAAGGAUCGGCUAACUCCGUGCCAGCAGCCGCGGUAAUACGGAGGAUCCGAGCGUUAUCCGGAUUUAUUGGGUUUAAAGGGAGCGUAGGUGGGUUGUUAAGUCAGUUGUGAAAGUUUGCGGCUCAACCGUAAAAUUGCAUUUGAUACUGGCAUUCUUGAGUACAGUAGAGGUAGGUGGAAUUCGUGGUGUAGCGGUGAAAUGCUUAGAUAUCACGAAGAACUCCGAUUGCGAAGGCAGCCUGCUAGACUGUAACUGACGCUGAUGCUCGAAAGUGUGGGUAUCAAACAGGAUUAGAUACCCGUGUAGUC
Molecule: ribosomal RNA, 460 nt
Filed under: uncultured bacterium
Lineage: Bacteria
Description: partial 16S ribosomal RNA
Rfam family: Bacterial small subunit ribosomal RNA
Source: RNAcentral